This 1209-nucleotide ribosomal RNA is filed under the name Enterococcus faecalis. Its description in RNAcentral is "partial 23S ribosomal RNA". It matches the Rfam family "Bacterial large subunit ribosomal RNA", at positions 399 to 1611 of the family's 2925-position model. Lineage: Bacteria; Bacillati; Bacillota; Bacilli; Lactobacillales; Enterococcaceae. The record is from RNAcentral.
GUGAGCUCGAUGAGUAGGGCGGGACACGUGGUAUCCUGUCUGAAUAUGGGGGGACCAUCCUCCAAGGCUAAAUACUCCUGACUGACCGAUAGUGAACCAGUACCGUGAGGGAAAGGCGAAAAGAACCCCGGCGAGGGGAGUGAAAAAGAACCUGAAACCGUGUACGUACAAGCAGUGGGAGCACGCUUAGGCGUGUGACUGCGUACCUUUUGUAUAAUGGGUCAGCGACUUAUAUUCUGUAGCAAGGUUAACCGAAUAGGGGAGCCGAAGGGAAACCGAGUCUUAACUGGGCGUUAAGUUGCAGGGUAUAGACCCGAAACCCGGUGAUCUAGCCAUGGGCAGGUUGAAGGUUGGGUAACACUAACUGGAGGACCGAACCGACUAAUCUUGAAAAAUUAGCGGAUGACUUGUGGCUGGGGGUGAAAGGCCAAUCAAACCGGGAGAUAGCUGGUUCUCCCCGAAAGCUAUUUAGGUAGCGCCUCGUGAAUUCAUCUCCGGGGGUAGAGCACUGUUUCGGCAAGGGGGUCAUCCCGACUUACCAACCCGAUGCAAACUGCGAAUACCGGAGAAUGUUAUCACGGGAGACACACGGCGGGUGCUAACGUCCGUCGUGAAGAGGGAAACAACCCAGACCGCCAGCUAAGGUCCCAAAGUCAUGGUUAAGUGGGAAACGAUGUGGGAAGGCCCAGACAGCCAGGAUGUUGGCUUAGAAGCAGCCAUCAUUUAAAGAAAGCGUAAUAGCUCACUGGUCGAGUCGGCCUGCGCGGAAGAUGUAACGGGGCUAAACCAUGCACCGAAGCUGCGGCAGCGACGCUUAUGCGUUGUUGGGUAGGGGAGCGUUCUGUAAGCCUGCGAAGGUGUGCUGUGAGGCAUGCUGGAGGUAUCAGAAGUGCGAAUGCUGACAUAAGUAACGAUAAAGCGGGUGAAAAGCCCGCUCGCCGGAAGACCAAGGGUUCCUGUCCAACGUUAAUCGGGGCAGGGUGAGUCGACCCCUAAGGCGAGGCCGAAAGGCGUAGUCGAUGGGAAACAGGUUAAUAUUCCUGUACUUGGUGUUACUGCGAAGGGGGGACGGAGAAGGCUAUGUUGGCCGGGCGACGGUUGUCCCGGUUUAAGCGUGUAGGCUGGUUUUCCAGGCAAAUCCGGAAAAUCAAGGCUGAGGCGUGAUGACGAGGCACUACGGUGCUGAAGCAACAAAUGCCCUGCUUCCAG